GCCAGGCACGGUGGCUUGUGCCUGUAGUCCCAGCCACUCGGGAGGCUGAGGUGGGAGGAUCCCUUGAGCCCAGGAGUUCUGGGCUGUAGUGCACUAUGCUGAUCGGGUGUCCGCACUAAGUUCGGCAUCAAUAUGGUGACCUCCCGGGAGCGGGGGACCACCAGGUUGCCUAAGGAGGGGUGAACCCGCCCAGGUCGAAAACGGAGCAGGUCAAAACUCCUGUGCUGAUCAGUAGUGGGAUCACGCCUGUGAAUAGCCACUGAACCCCAGCCCGGGCAGCUCAGCAAGACCCCGUCUCUU
This is an unclassified non-coding RNA of Callithrix jacchus (white-tufted-ear marmoset), 300 nucleotides long. It matches the Rfam family "Metazoan signal recognition particle RNA". Rfam says of the family: The signal recognition particle (SRP) is a universally conserved ribonucleoprotein. The record is from Ensembl. NCBI's taxonomy places the organism in Eukaryota, Metazoa, Chordata, Mammalia, Primates, Cebidae.